CAGUAAAGAAAAGAGGGAAGAGCAUAAUCUCCCCCUUUCUUUUAUUACAAGGUCAUGGAUUAGAAGCACAAACUUCAAUACUCACUGGACAAGGGCGCAUGGUCGCUAGGGAUGUACAAGUUUCCAUAGAUGAGACCAGCUACCCCACCUCCAAUAAGCGGCCCGACCCAGUAGACCCAGUUGUCGUGGAAGUCACCGCUAGCGACGGCUGG
Molecule: unclassified non-coding RNA, 212 nt
Filed under: Hevea brasiliensis (rubber tree)
Lineage: Eukaryota; Viridiplantae; Streptophyta; Magnoliopsida; Malpighiales; Euphorbiaceae
Source: RNAcentral